UGGGGAAUUUUGGACGAUGGGGGCAACCCUGAUCCAGCCAUCCCGCGUGUGCGAUGAAGGCCUUCGGGUUGUAAAGCACUUUUGGCAGGGAAGAAACAGCCCGGGCUAAUAUCCCGGGCGACUGACGGUACCUGCAGAAUAAGCACCGGCUAACUACGUGCCAGCAGCCGCGGUAAUACGUAGGGUGCAAGCGUUAAUCGGAAUUACUGGGCGUAAAGCGUGCGCAGGCGGUUCGGAAAGAAAGGUGUGAAAUCCCAGGGCUUAACCUUGGAACUGCACUUUUAACUACCGGGCUAGAGUACGUCAGAGGGGGGUAGAAUUCCACGUGUAGCAGUGAAAUGCGUAGAGAUGUGGAGGAAUACCGAUGGCGAAGGCAGCCCCCUGGGAUGAUACUGACGCUCAUGCACGAAAGCGUGGGGAGCAAACA
This 427-nucleotide ribosomal RNA is filed under the name uncultured bacterium. Its description in RNAcentral is "bacterial SSU rRNA". It matches the Rfam family "Bacterial small subunit ribosomal RNA", at positions 355 to 774 of the family's 1533-position model. The record is from RNAcentral.